GAAAAAGUGACACAACUCACACAAACAAACCAUCUGGAACCAACAGAGAAAGAUGAUUUUCUGUGGUGUUUUAAAUCUUUGACCUGGAUGUGAGUUUGAAAGGUGUGCAUGAUGGAUGUUUCUGAGGAGAGAGAGGACGGUGGUUCGACCUUAAAGGCUGCUCUGUCUGAGCAACACGAUGGAGAGACAAGAAAAAAUAGGGUUUCAUUGCCUGGCACAAUAACACACCGUCAAUCAUCAACACACCCCUACACACUGACUCCAACCGGGUAGCAGUGUAUCUGCACUGGAAGGCUGGAACUCUGUCCUUCUACUCUCUCCCCUCCAGAAGCUCCUCCAAUAGACGAAUCCACCUCCACACCUUCCAGUCCACAUUCACCCAACUCCUCUACCCUGCUGCUGGGUUUGGAAAAGGACAUGAGGAUGGUACAGAGUCUUCAGUUACUCUGACUCUGAUUGAAUGAAGGUUACCUCCUUGACUCUCAGGACAGAUUGAGAUCAACAUAUCUGAGCUGUAAUAGAGCUGAAGCUUGUAAAGACAAAACUCUGGCUGUUUGUGGAUUAGCAAAGAAAUAUUUCCAAGACAGAAUUAAUGCUACAGGUGCAAAGUUAUGAAGCUCAACAUACAAUAGUUUUUUGCUACACUGGGCUAGAGAUUUAGCAGGGAUGCCCUCCCUACUAUAUAUGUUCUCGGACUUGUGAUAUUUAUAAAUAUAUAGUAUUAUCUUUUUGCAGUCAAUAUUAAGAUAUUCAAAU
This is a long non-coding RNA of Mugil cephalus (flathead mullet), 756 nucleotides long. RefSeq lists it as uncharacterized. The transcript is spliced from 3 exons. The record is from RefSeq and is a predicted model, not a curated record. NCBI's taxonomy places the organism in Eukaryota, Metazoa, Chordata, Actinopteri, Mugiliformes, Mugilidae.